Molecule: RNA transcript, 6729 nt
Organism: Mirounga angustirostris (Northern elephant seal)
Lineage: Eukaryota; Metazoa; Chordata; Mammalia; Carnivora; Phocidae
Exons: 12
Source: RefSeq, a predicted model, not a curated record
UGUCGUCUGCAGAAUUAAGCGUUGAAAGGUUCUCACAUAGGUGAUAUUUUCAAGAACAAUUCAGUGACAGGCAUACAGGAUUUUAACCCUACAGCCUUCAUGGAACCAGCGGGACCAUGGCUGGGGAAGCAAGUUUCUUCAAAAACAAGCUGUAUGCGUUGGGGGUCAGGGAUCACAUAUGCCAUCUUAUCAAAUACUUGACUUCCUCUUUAGAGUCUGACAAAGCUUCUGUAUUUUCAUAGGACCUCCCCCCAGCAGACAGACAAUGCUGGGGGGAAAAAAGGAAGCUAAACAAUGAUGUGCUAAAUUUGACAGAAACUUAACUUUUUUUUUUUAAAAGAUUUAUUUAUUUAUUUGAGAGAGCGAGAAUGAGAGAGAGUACAUGAGAGGGGGGAGGGUCAGAGGGAGAAGCAGGCUCCUCGCUGAGCAGGGAGCCCGAUGCGGGACUUGAUCCAGGGACUCCAGGAUCAUGACCUGAGCCGAAGGCAGUUGCCUAACCAACUGAGCCACCCAGGCGCCCAACAGAAACUUAACUUUUCACAUGAUACCAAACCUUACCCAAAUGCAACGUUCUUUGCCCUGCUUUUGUUCUCCAAUUUUCCACUGAAGCCAUCCCGAGGAAGUGGUAUCAUCAGCUUAAUUAAAAAUACUUCCUUUGUCUUGGCUGGCUUUUACCAAAAGGAGUGGUUCAAGUUCUUAGAAGAGAUGGCUCCUGGCGUUACAAUAGCUGAGGGCUCUGGGAGCCCCUUUCACGCGGGCUCUGCUGGGACCCGUAAUGUAGCUAGGUAAACAGCGAUCUCAUUUUGGGUCAUGCGGGUUUACUAACAUCAUCGUGAAAGGUAUCAACAAGAUAUGAGGUAGCUGUCAAUUUAUUUAACUCCGUUUGCUUUGGCUUUUGGGUUUUUUUUUUUCCGUCUUACGGAGUGAACUCGGAGGAAGCUGGAAACAUUUCUUUCCACUGAAUUUUUGUCAAGCUAAAAGCAAUGCCUGCUCAUUAAAUAAUUGUAAAUGAAUAGAAAAAAAGAGAAGUUACUGACAAUCCCCAAACUUUCAGACAAACACUUUCUAUUUUCCUUGAUUUUGAGACACACUUAGGAACUCUCAUUAUUUUUUGAAGGUUUCAAAUAAUCCUAAAUGAGGACGCGUCUGUCUGUUCUGAAAUCAGAAUGGUUACUGAAGCUCCACACAUUUCAGUUGGGUUAAACUUUGACCAAGCCAGGUGACCAGUUAGCAGACCACGUGGAAUACUUUCUAUCAGCCAAGACCACACACCCAGAUUCCUGGAGCAGGUCUCAGUGUUUGUAAUCAAACAUAACCCCAGAAUGUUUGCUCUCCUAAGCAUUUGAGACACAUUCUUCUCAUUUGAAAGCUUUGUGUCUUACUCAACAACCUCUGUAUCUAAACUAUGUUAAAGAUACAUAGUGAAGGGAUGACAUCACAGAGCUGAUUUUGUUCUUUCAGCUCUGUGCUUAGCUAAAGUUGAGCAGUUGCAAUGAGUCAUGCAAUCUUGUGACCGGCCGGGCACUUUUCCAAUCAGAAAGACAGUUAAGAUCUUUAACAGAAUCUGGAGUUGUUUGAAGACGAGGUAACAGCAGGACCUGGACGCUUGGUGAAACCAAGCCUGUAUGAAAGGGACUGUUGGAGAAAUGACUAUCUCCCAGGUGUUAAGUGAUCUCUCAUUGCGGUUUUGAUUUGCAUUUCCCUGAUGAUUGGUGAUGCUGAGCACAUUUUCAUUUACCUAUUGACCAUUGUUAUAGAUGUGGAAGUCUUCUAAUAUAUUUGGAGCAUUAAAAAAGAUACACAGAAACAUCAAGUGAAACUGUGAAUCAGACAAGCAUAUAUGCAAGUGGAGGUUCUAACAGAUGUCCUUGUACUGCGAUUCAUCACUUCCUGCAGGCUUUGGGGCACGUGCACCCCGCUUUUGAGACCCCUGAGCUAAUCGGAGACCUGGGGGCUUCAGGGAGGUCCUCAUGGGGAAAAUGAAGUGGUCCUUCCCCUCUUUAUGACCCCGCCUGAGUGAGUAGGCUUCGGAAGUAAAGCCACACUGGGUAGAGCACAGCUACAAGAAGAUGUCUGCCAUAAUCACAAAGGGGAAGUAAUGGAUUUUGUAUUAGGGCACAUAAAUGAGAUCACCGACACAUGAACACGCAUAAAUCUCCUAUGUUGGGAGAAGAUGGGGCCCAGGGUUUAUUGAUUACCUACCACGUGGCAAGCAUGAUUCCAGACAGCUCAUAUAUGUGGAAAGAGAUAAGGCCGUACAGCUUUUACCUAAAAUGUUUGGUGAUAUAUUGUCGUGCAAUAUCCCAUUGCUUUUAUAACUUUAUGGAUCCAUUCAUGCCACAGUGUGUGAGCACUUCCUGGGCGUGUUGUGGUCUACUCGAUAUCAGGAGAGUUGCAAAGCCCUGGAGGAACAGCUGCAAAAUAGACUUCAAGGGAAUUUUACUACUUCCUUUUUCUCCGAUUGAAAAAAAGAGAGAGAAAAGCGAAGAUUUCAGUGACCCGAGAUUCCUUUCUCUUUAUUGAUGAGGACAGUGCCUGGAACUGCCUGCCCUCAGGAGACACAGGGGUCCCCUUUGUAAUUGCUUGGAAAUGAGGAACUUCCAGAGACCCAGAAGAAGAAUUUGACCUUGGGGUGUGAAUGGUUAAUGGGAGCUUGUUGCAGAGGAGGUCCUGUUUCGGUUGACUGGUAUGAACUUAUUGAAAUCUCAGGGCAACUCUGAGUGAAAGGAGGAUUUAUCAUCUCUAGUUUAUAGAUGGGAAACUCAUGGGGGUUAGAAACUUGCCCCAGGCCACAUGGUUAGUAACUGAUAGAGCCCGAAUGCAGUCCAGGGCUCCUGGCUUCCAAUCUCCCUCUCCAUUAAAGAUGCUGCCUCCUUGUGUGCUGUCCUGUGAAUCAUUCUUCAAUGGUGUGAGAUAAAGUUUACUUGCCAGUUUUCAGGUUUGGAAUGAAAAAUACAAGUUGUCGUUCAAUCGUCUUUGUCUGGCCUCUACAUCUGCAUAAAGGUUUCAGGUUUCCAGGGAGGCGGUUCCUCUUCACGUGCUCUCAAUGGCCUGUCGCUCACUGUCCUCCAGAGUUCCAUGAGGGACCCCAGGAGAACUCCUAGAACUGCCCUCCAGCACCACCUCCCUCGAAGGACACUCUGCUGGAGCAGGUCUAGCUGCCUUUCUCUCUACCUGCCUAGAAUCUGUGUCAUCAUGGAAAACAAGUUUCUAAGGAAUGUAGGCGUCACGACCUGCAACAGCAUUCAAACUGAGUCCAGGAGAGACAGAAUGGAAGGGUCUGGCCCCAUGUGCAGCAUGUGGAAGUGUGGGGACCAGAAGAGCACUUCCACAAGGUACUGGGUAAUGGCAGCAUUUUCAUGCAAGAAAAUACUCCUCCCGUGGUAGCUGAGAGGACAGCGCAAGACCACAAGCAAACCCAGCACCAUCCAUUUCCAGGGAGAGUGUGGAUUCUUUGUUCCUUCACAACUUUGAUCAUCAGAACAUGUAUUCAGUUUGUGUGAUUUUUGCUUGGAAAGAACUGAGUGGUUGGCAACAAAAACAACAUUAUAAGGGAAGUACUUGUAAAGCUCCUAAGUGAUUCCCUUAGGGCAUGGACACCCAGAGCAAUGCUCUGUUCUCUGAACCUCAUCUGUUCCAGGCAUCCUUGGCUGGUUGGUCUGGUCACACAAUCCACUGCAAGACGUGGGUCUCUCAGUAUUUCCCCAAAAGGAGGGCUGGUGUGUGUGUGUGUGUGUGUGUGUUUUAAACACAAAUGUGUCCAAACUAAGUACUGCUUAUGUCAAUCAGGGUUCUGGAAGGACGCAAAAUUCAGGCUAGAUGAUUCAAAUGAAGAGAUCUUAAUGAAGAAACUACUCACAUUGUAUUUCUUAAACUUACAUAUAUUACAUGUAAAUAAUAGCUCAAUAAAGCCAGGGAAAGAAAGAAGUGUCUUUGUGGGAGGCAGAUUUCUAAACAGCCACAAGAAUUAUUGUCCACAUACACCUCUGUAACUCUUUCCUCUGCUGGGUGGGCUGCAUUUAGUGACGGGCUUCCAACCAAUAGAACACAGCAAAGGUGUUGAGGUCUCAUUUUCAUGAUUAGGUCACAAAAGAUGUGGCUUUGGUUUUGCUGGUAUCUCCCUUGCCUUCUUGCAUUGAAGCUUUGAUGAAGCAAGCCCCCAUGAUGGAGGGACCCACUUGGCAAGGAUCUGAGGGCAGCCUCCCACAGCCAGACUUCGAGGAAUCGAGUUAUACCAACAACCACUUGGUCACGGUCCUUUCCCUGGCUGGGCUUCCUGGUGACCAUAGCCUGGCCACCACUGGGCUGCAGGCUGAUGAGACUCCAUUCUAGGGGGUCCAGCUAAGCUGCACCUGGACCCCUGACCCAAAGAAGCUGUGAGAUAAUAAAUGUGCGCUGUCCCAAGCCACUAAAUCUUGGUGUAAUUUGUUAUGCAGCAAUAGAUCAUUAAUAAUUCCAGGUCUAUUGGGGGCAUACUUUAAAAAAAAAAGAUUUAUUUAUUUAUUUUAGAGGGGUAGGAGGAGAGGGAGAGGGAGAGAGGACUCCGAUCUGAGCAUGGAGCUUGAUUUUGGGGAUCAAUCUCAUGACUCUGAGAUCACAAGCUGAGCCAAAAUCAAGAGUUGGAUGCUUAACUGACUGAGCUACCCAGGUGUCUCUUGGGGGCAUACUUAUAUUUACAAUCAACUUAUAGAACAUUUCCAUGAUCCCCUAGAAUUCCACCCUGCCCCUUUCCCCAGCCCCUGGUAACUAUGACUCAAUGAUGAUUGAGUUUAAGGAUAGUUAUCUAGGUUUAUAAUCUAAGAUUUUACUUAUGCAUUAAUUUUACUAUCAUGAUUACAGUGUAGAGUGCUGAUCUCCAUCUCUUUCAUUUGCCUUUUGAUGAAUGAGUGUAAAAAGUUUUCUUCUGCCAGUUUUCUUCUGUACCAUUAGGGACAGGACAUGAAAAGUUCUGAACUGGGGCGCCUAGGUGGCUCAGUCGUUAAGCGUCUGCCUUCGGCUCAGGUCAUGGUCCCAGGGUCCUGGGAUCGAGCCCCGCAUCGGGCUCCCUGCUCCGCAGGAAGCCUGCUUCUCCCUCUCCCACUUCCCCUGCUUGUGUUCCCUCUCUUGCUGUCUCUCUCUCUCUGUCAAAUAAAUAAAUAAAAUCUUAAAAAAAAAAAAAAAGAAAAGAAAAGUUCUGAACUCCCAUUGUCGCCCCCAAGUCUCUAAAUCUUCACUGAAGGUUGUGCAGUCCUUCGGGCAGGGCAAGAAGAAAACAGAAAGCUGAGGAUGUUUCACAAUUGCUUCAUCUUUCAGGUCCUUCUAUCACCCUCUGGUUCUCAUUAUUUGGUCUUUUUUUUAGCACUGCUGGGAAUAAUUGAUGGGUAAGGAUGAGAGAUGAUGAUAUAAUUUCUGGGAUUAUAAGUAGCAAAACAUUUCAAGAUGCAGGAAAAAUAAGAUCACUUAGACUCAUAAUGUGCCUUAUGGUGAUGAUGAACUUAUGGGAGAAUCCAAUGGACCUGUAUGGUAAUUAAAAGAUUAAACGUCUUAUUCUAUUUUUAAAAAUAAGUGUAUUUUAUCUUUGGUUUUUGGAAGACCUCUAAGAGAGGAUAAAAGUCAUGAAAUGCCAUUUAAACCACUUUGAAAACCUCAGACACUAAAACAGGGUCCAAUAAUGCCUGGUGCUGAAUGUGAAUGAGGUAGGGUGAGACCUGAGGCCAGAGGUGGUAGCGAGCCAUUUCCACCCUGUGAGAGGGGGACAAAAAGAAGAGCUCAGUAUAGAGAAGGAGCCCAGCAAGAGGCAGAACCGUAGAGAAAAGGCCACUGGAAUCAGUGAAUUUAGGAGAAGCCCGGUUGUUGCCAUGGGCAUCAUGUCAAAGCAGGGGAGAGACAAUGAUGCCUCCUUGCUGACACUCAGCCAUCAAUGAUGCAUUCCCUUAGCCAGACCAAGCCAACUGGCACCUUUCAGGGCUCUAAGGGCAGACAGGCAGAGGAUGGAUCUAGGCAGCCGUGUGAAAAAAGAACCUUCACAUGCUUCUAGUGACUUCUUUGAAAUCUGUCUUGGAUGGUUUUCCUCUUUAGCACAUGUGAAUAUACCUCAUUCUUCUAAAUUGCUCUAAGACACAAAGCAUAGAUGAACCAUACCAGGGAGGACCUUAGAAAGCAGGUGGCACUUCCUCUGAGGCUUGAAGGAUUUUAGUACAUGUUUCUCUGUAUAGAGCAGAAAUGGCAGUCCAAAGUGUAAUGAGCUGAGUAAGGGAAAGGCUCAUUAUCUGAGAGGCUUCUCUGGUGGCUGGCAUAAAAUAGAUACUCAAUAAAUACUUACAUUAAAUUGAGCUUGUUGAGGAAGAGAAUUAAUCAACCAAAUCUGCAUUUUUUAUUGUUGUUUCAUUAAAUACAUUUCUUUAGCUGUAUGUUAACAGUAAAGAAAUUUGGAGAUCUGAGGCAAUAAUCUAGAUAAUUUUAAGACUGAUAACCUGCUAUUUAGGAAGUCGUUCUUUUAGGUCUAAAUGAGCUAUGUUGAGUAGAGUCAAUUAGAUCAUUGCUCAAGUCCACAUACUAUGCCAUUUGGCAUGUUCUAUCUUUUUGUUUAAAAUGGUAAUUAGUGGGGCGCCUGGGUGGCUCAGUUGGUUAAGCGACUGCCUUCGGCUCAGGUCAUGAUCCUGGAGUCCCGGGAUCGAGUCCCGCAUCGGGUUCCCUGCUCGGCAGGGAGUCUGCUUCUCCCUCUGACCCUCCUCCCUCUCAUGCUCUCUG